Molecule: non-coding RNA, 687 nt
Organism: Heterocephalus glaber (naked mole-rat)
Lineage: Eukaryota; Metazoa; Chordata; Mammalia; Rodentia; Bathyergidae
Source: RefSeq, a predicted model, not a curated record
AUUGCCCAGGCUGAGCUCCAACUUGAAUCCUCCUGCUGCAACUUUCCAGAGUGCUGGCAUCACAGGCAUGUGCCACCACGCCCUGCUGUUGUGUUUUAUAACUAGCAUGCAGCAGUCAGCAACUACUUGGGCCCAAUUACAGACCAUCCCUAGGCUGCAAUGGUAGCCACCUGACUUCCAAGAGCCAAGCCAGAAGGGCCUGAAGGCAUCCCUGAAAGCAAGGCUUCAAUCUAGAGGGCUGGUACCUGGUGCGGUCUGAGGCAGCACUGCUGCUGCUGCUGCUGCUGGACUCGGAGUCGGAGCUGCUCCGGGGAAGGCUACAGUCAUUUCGGUAUACCAGGAAACUCUUCUUCACUGGCUGGUUUCCACUGCUGAAGCCAUUGGCUGUUACUGGCCUCAGGACACAAACGACUUAAGGGCAGGAGGUCCCUGAGAAGAUGAGAAGAGAAGAGGUAAAGUGAGACAAUGGAGGAGGCCCUGACGGGACUCUGGCUGGUCCCAGUGUCUCUGGACCUCCAUCUUCCCGACCACACAAUGAGAUGAUGGGGAUGAAAGGGUUCCUAAGGGCCCUUCUAGCUCUACCUUUCAUGGGAAAAGGGAGGGACAGCAGGGCAUGCCGGGAAGCAUGGCAGUGCUGCGCUUUGUCUGGGGACUGGGUGAUGAUGGUAAGGCUCACCCAUUGGGGGG